UCCAUAUCAAGGACAGCCCAUAACAGA
This 27-nucleotide non-coding RNA is filed under the name Homo sapiens (human). The record is from RNAcentral. Lineage: Eukaryota; Metazoa; Chordata; Mammalia; Primates; Hominidae.